Non-coding RNA from Manis javanica (Malayan pangolin), 1670 nucleotides. NCBI's taxonomy places the organism in Eukaryota, Metazoa, Chordata, Mammalia, Pholidota, Manidae. The record is from RefSeq and is a predicted model, not a curated record.
UGUCCUUUGCGUUCUAAAGAGAACUGUCCUAAAAGACUAAGUUAUGCAACUCUUUCCAGGUUAGUGAAAAGCUGUGGCUCUACUGGUCCUGCUACCUUGACACCACUCUGCUUGUUAGUGGACAUCGCAAGCCUGGGCAGGAAAGACAAGAGAGCAUUUUACCCUGUUUGCUGUGAGGGAUACCAAGGGACCCCCUCAUAAAGGGUAGAGGUGCCUGGAAGAAAUCAUAUGACUAAAAUUAAUCUCCAGGUCCCCUCCCUUCCUCAGAUGUUGACUACUUUCAAUGCUCCAACCCUCUAAUCAUAUGGUUGAUCUUUCUGGUGACCAGACCCUUCAUCCUGAGUUAUCUUGUAAGCAUAAACCCAGGUGUGACUUAGGGGGUGGGGUUCCAUGAAUAACAAAGGCACUUUCCAUUACUCAGGAAAUUCCAAGGAUUUAGAGCCUUCAAGGACUUAGUAGCCAGGGACAAAGGCCAAACUGUUACACAAUGGGCACAUACCAAAAUGAAUUUGAUUAACCUUGAGUCUCUGCAAGGUAAUAUUUAAUGCCAAAUGACAGUGGAACAAGGUCUACAGUUUCCUGAGGGAAAAAAUAUUUAACACAAAAAACACACCCUGACAAGUUAGUCACAUAAAGUUAACAAACCAGCAUUAUCAACUAAGCAGAGUACAACCGUUACAAGCCCUGUGUAGAAAAUAAAAAGCUGCUAGCUGUUCAACUCAGCUAAUAAGAAAAAACAUGAAAGAAUACAAGGAAGGAGCAGCUGUGUGAAAAGGACUUUUGUUUGUCAGAGUUUGCCUGUGAUUUUCUUUCUAGCAGUGUUUUAGUCCGGUACUGCCAUCAAUGCUAUUCUAAUCUCAAAAAAUAAGAUGGAAGAAUGUCUACCCUGGGAAGAUGAAGCAGACAUACUUUUCCCUAUUUCAACUAAAAGCUUUGGACAUUAUAUAUGAAACAAAUAUAAGAAGACUCUGAAAGGUAUAGAGAAAGAGGCAGACUGGCGAUUGACUUUGGAACCCAAAAAAUGACUGCUGUGUCAGUUCCCUAUGUUUUCUUCUUUGCUUCAUAUAUUCUAGACAUAGAGUUGAAAAAGCCAGCAACCUGGAAAGACCAGUAGGUUCAGACAAUGAAAGCUCCAUUUGAAGCCUGGUCUCUUUCGCUAAAGGACCAGGAAAAGAACAGUCUAGUAAGACAAAAAUUAAAAAAAGCUUUUUAACAAGAACUGCUCUACUCCAGCCAAAUACCACAGAAAAAUUUGUGGGCUCUACCGAUCCUCACCUAUGCCAGCAAAAGUAGAGUGGGAAGCCUUUUACUCUCAUGAGUUUGUAACAAGGUGACCCAAUACCCACACUGGGAAGAAGGCCAAGUAGGGGGCAGGCCAGUGUCAGUACAGACCCCAUGGUGAGUUGAAACUCCUAUCCCCAACCAUCAAUAACAAGGAGCUCCUCCCACUCCAGUGUCAUUGGAGACUGAAUGGAGAACCUAGACUUCAUAUUCAUCUGGCAAUAGUGAGGUGGUGCCCUUCUGCUUCCUCUGUCAGAGCAGCAUCAAACCAAGCCAGCUAAAACAGAAGGUAUAACACCUAGAGUCUCAUUACACUAUGCAAAAAUGUCCAAGUUUCAACUGAAAGUCACUCAUCAUACCAAGCAAGAACCAGGAAGAUCUCAAAUGAA